ACGAUGCAACUAGCCGUUGGAAUCCUUGAGAUUUAGUGGCGCACUAACGCAUUAAGUUGACCGCCUGGGGAGUACGGCCGCAAGGUUAAAACUCAAAUGAAUUGACGGGGGCCCGCACAAGCGGUGGAGCAUGUGGUUUAAUUCGAAGCAACGCGAAGAACCUUACCAGGGCCUUGACAUGCAGAGAACUUUCCAGAGAUGGAUUGGUGCCUUCGGGAACUCUGACACAGGUGCUGCAUGGCUGUCGUCAGCUCGUGUCGUGAGAUG
RNAcentral lists this ribosomal RNA (267 nucleotides) under Pseudomonas sp. 'mevalonii'. RNAcentral describes it as "Pseudomonas mevalonii partial 16S ribosomal RNA". It matches the Rfam family "Bacterial small subunit ribosomal RNA", at positions 806 to 1074 of the family's 1533-position model. The record is from RNAcentral. Lineage: Bacteria; Pseudomonadati; Pseudomonadota; Gammaproteobacteria; Pseudomonadales; Pseudomonadaceae.